RNAcentral lists this ribosomal RNA (512 nucleotides) under Ravinia planifrons. Its description in RNAcentral is "eukaryotic LSU rRNA". It matches the Rfam family "Eukaryotic large subunit ribosomal RNA", at positions 768 to 1242 of the family's 3401-position model. The record is from RNAcentral. Lineage: Eukaryota; Metazoa; Arthropoda; Insecta; Diptera; Sarcophagidae.
GUUAUGUAUAAUAAUAUUUAUAUUAUUUAUACCUCUAACUAGAGCGUACCUUGAGCAUAUAUGCUGUGACCCGAAAGAUGGUGAACUAUACUUGAUCAGGUUGAAGUCAGGGGAAACCCUGAUGGAAGACCGAAACAGUUCUGACGUGCAAAUCGAUUGUCAGAAUUGAGUAUAGGGGCGAAAGACCAAUCGAACCAUCUAGUAGCUGGUUCCCUCCGAAGUUUCCCUCAGGAUAGCUGGUGCAUUUAAAUAUUAUGUAAAAUAAUCUUAUCUGGUAAAGCGAAUGAUUAGAGGCCUUAGGGUCGAAACGACCUUAACCUAUUCUCAAACUUUAAAUGGGUAAGAACCUCACCUUUCUUGGUAUGAAGGUUGUGGUUGUGAUAUAAUGUGCCCAGUGGGCCACUUUUGGUAAGCAGAACUGGCGCUGUGGGAUGAACCAAACGUAAUGUUACGGUGCCCAAAUUAACAACUCAUGCAGAUACCAUGAAAGGCGUUGGUUGCUUAAAACAGCA